Bordetella avium 197N is the source of this 73-nucleotide transfer RNA. It matches the Rfam family "tRNA". From Rfam's summary of the family: Transfer RNA (tRNA) molecules are approximately 80 nucleotides in length. Their secondary structure includes four short double-helical elements and three loops (D, anti-codon, and T loops). The record is from Rfam. Lineage: Bacteria; Pseudomonadati; Pseudomonadota; Betaproteobacteria; Burkholderiales; Alcaligenaceae.
GCCGGUGUAGCUCAGUUGGUAGAGCAGCUCACUUGUAAUGAGAAGGUCGAGGGUUCGAUUCCUUUCACCGGCA